This 551-nucleotide long non-coding RNA is filed under the name Brassica napus (rape). RNAcentral's name for it is "long non-coding RNA (BNAP_LNC026956)". Lineage: Eukaryota; Viridiplantae; Streptophyta; Magnoliopsida; Brassicales; Brassicaceae. The record is from RNAcentral.
CCUCCUGGUGGCUUACAGAGUAUUAAAACAUAGGUUUAGAAAAUAAAAACGUGCAUAAUGAAAUGACCAAAAGGCCCUUGAGAAAUCAUAAGUUCGAGCAGAAAUCAGGCGCGCAGCGAUCUUCCUUGUCGCUCUGGUAAGGUCGCUCCAUGCUUCGGGAGCGACCUCGCUGUGUCACUGCGAGAGGUCGCUCCGGACUCGUUCUCGCGUCUCCGGGUGAUGAAAACGCGAGCGACUCUUCCCUGUCGCUCUGGUAAGGUCGCUCUGAUAGGGAGAUCAGAGCGACUUGAUGGUGUCGCUCCCGUGCGCUGCUCGCCCAAUGAUCACUUAAAACACUUUUUUUGAACUCCAAAUGCACCCAAAUGUCUCCAAGAACUCCAUGUGGUACUCCAAUACCUGAUAAGGACUCAUGUAUGCAAAACGCAACCUAAACAUGGCUAAAUCCUAAUCUAUAUGAUCAAAAUGCACAUGGGUGAAUGGAUAAAACAAUAGAAAUAUGCAAGAUAUCAUAGGUGGAUGGAGUUUGUGGCAUACUAAGAUAUAAGGAUUCG